UACGAAGGGGGCGAGCGUUGUUCGGAUUUACUGGGCGUAAAGGGCGCGUAGGCGGCCCUCCUAGUCGCGUGUGAAAUCCCCGGGCUCAACCCGGGAACUGCGUCCGAUACUGGCAGGCUUGAAUUCGGGAGAGGGAUGUGGAAUUCCAGGUGUAGCGGUGAAAUGCGUAGAUAUCUGGAGGAACACCGGUGGCGAAGGCGGCAUCCUGGACCGAUAUUGACGCUGAUGCGCGAAAGCCAGGGGAGCAAACGGG
Molecule: ribosomal RNA, 253 nt
Filed under: uncultured bacterium
Lineage: Bacteria
Description: partial 16S ribosomal RNA
Rfam family: Bacterial small subunit ribosomal RNA
Source: RNAcentral